This 461-nucleotide ribosomal RNA is filed under the name uncultured bacterium. RNAcentral describes it as "bacterial SSU rRNA". It matches the Rfam family "Bacterial small subunit ribosomal RNA", at positions 34 to 507 of the family's 1533-position model. The record is from RNAcentral.
CGCUGGCGGCGUGCUUAACACAUGCGAGUCGAACGGAAAGGCCCUGCUUUGUGGGGUGCUCGAGUGGCGAACGGGUGAGUAACACGUGAGUAACCUGCCCUUGACUUUGGGAUAACUUCAGGAAACUGGGGCUAAUACCGGAUAGGAGCUCCUGCUGCAUGGUGGGGGUUGGAGAGUUUCGGCGGUUGGGGAUGGACUCGCGGCUUAUCAGCUUGUUGGUGGGGUAGUGGCUUACCAAGGCAUUGACGGGUAGCCGGCCUGAGAGGGUGACCGGCCACAUUGGGACUGAGAUACGGCCCAGACUCCUACGGGAGGCAGCAGUGGGGAAUAUUGCACAAUGGGCGGAAGCCUGAUGCAGCAACGCCGCGUGCGGGAUGACGGCCUUCGGGUUGUAAACCGCUUUCGCCUGUGACGAAGCGUGAGUGACGGUAAUGGGUAAAGAAGCACCGGCUAACUACGUG